RNAcentral lists this transfer RNA (74 nucleotides) under Segniliparus rugosus. Its description in RNAcentral is "tRNA-Ile". It matches the Rfam family "tRNA". From Rfam's summary of the family: Transfer RNA (tRNA) molecules are approximately 80 nucleotides in length. Their secondary structure includes four short double-helical elements and three loops (D, anti-codon, and T loops). Further hydrogen bonds mediate the characteristic L-shaped molecular structure. tRNAs have two regions of fundamental functional importance: the anti-codon, which is responsible for specific mRNA codon recognition, and the 3' end, to which the tRNAs corresponding amino acid is attached (by aminoacyl-tRNA synthetases). tRNAs cope with the degeneracy of the genetic code in two manners: having more than one tRNA (with a specific anti-codon) for a particular amino acid; and 'wobble' base-pairing, i.e. permitting non-standard base-pairing at the 3rd anti-codon position. RNAcentral also lists the same sequence under 4 other names. The record is from RNAcentral. Lineage: Bacteria; Bacillati; Actinomycetota; Actinomycetes; Mycobacteriales; Segniliparaceae.
GGGCCUAUAGCUCAGGUGGUUAGAGCGCUUCGCUGAUAACGAAGAGGUCCCUGGUUCAAGUCCAGGUAGGCCCA